GACGAACGCUGGCGGCGUGCCUAAUACAUGCAAGUCGAACGAACGGAUAAAGAGCUUGCUCUUUUGAAGUUAGUGGCGGACGGGUGAGUAACACGUGGGUAACCUGCCUCACAGCUGGGGAUAACAUCGAGAAAUCGAUGCUAAUACCGAAUGUGCUGAACAUCAUAAGAUGUUCGAGUGAAAGACGGUUUCGGCUGUCACUGUGAGAUGGACCCGCGCUGGAUUAGCUAGUUGGUAAGGUAAUGGCUUACCAAGGCGACGAUCCAUAGCCGACCUGAGAGGGUGAUCGGCCACAUUGGGACUGAGACACGGCCCAAACGUCCUACGGGAGGCAGCAGUAGGGAAUCGUUCGGCAAUGGACGAAAGUCUGACCGAG
Molecule: ribosomal RNA, 376 nt
Filed under: uncultured bacterium
Lineage: Bacteria
Description: bacterial SSU rRNA
Rfam family: Bacterial small subunit ribosomal RNA
Source: RNAcentral